UAUCUUCAAUUUUCUCAGACUUGC
This 24-nucleotide non-coding RNA is filed under the name Arabidopsis thaliana (thale cress). Lineage: Eukaryota; Viridiplantae; Streptophyta; Magnoliopsida; Brassicales; Brassicaceae. The record is from RNAcentral.